UCAAAUUUGUAAUCUGGCGUCUUCGACGUCCGAGUUGUAAUCUCGAGAAGUGUUUUCCGUGAUAGACCGCAUACAAGUCUCUUGGAACAGAGCGUCAUAGUGGUGAGAACCCAGUACACGAUGCGGAUGCCUAUUACUUUGUGAUACACUUUCGAAGAGUCGAGUUGUUUGGGAAUGCAGCUCAAAUUGGGUGGUAAAUUCCAUCUAAAGCUAAAUAUUGGCGAGAGACCGAUAGCGAACAAGUACCGUGAGGGAAAGAUGAAAAGCACUUUGGAAAGAGAGUUAACAGUACGUGAAAUUGUUGGAAGGGAAACACAUGCAGUGAUACUUGCUAUUCGGGGCAACUCGAUUGGCAGGCCCGCAUCAGUUUUUCGGGGCGGAAAAGCAUGGAUUGAAGGUAGCAGUCUCGGCUGUGUUAUAGCUUUCCAUUGGAUUCGCCCUGGGGGACUGAGGAACGCAGCGUGCUUUUUGCAUGAGCUUCGGCUUAUCCACGCUUAGGAUGCGGGUUUAUGGCUGUAUAUGACCCGUCUUGAAACACGGACCAAGGAGUCUAACAUGCUUGCGAGUAUUUGGGUGUCAAACCCGGAUGCGCAAUGAAAGUGAAUGGAGGUGGGAAGCGCAAGCUGCACCAUCGACCGAUCUGGAUUUUUUAAGAUGGAUUUGAGUAAGAGCAAGUAUGUUGGGACCCGAAAGAUGGUGAACUAUGCCUGAAUAGGGCGAAGCCAGAGGAAACUCUGGUGGAGGCUCGUAGCGGUUCUGACGUGCAAAUCGAUCGUCAAAUUUGGGUAUAG
This 791-nucleotide ribosomal RNA is filed under the name Sporobolomyces musae. RNAcentral describes it as "partial large subunit ribosomal RNA". It matches the Rfam family "Eukaryotic large subunit ribosomal RNA", at positions 109 to 920 of the family's 3401-position model. The record is from RNAcentral. Lineage: Eukaryota; Fungi; Basidiomycota; Microbotryomycetes; Sporidiobolales; Sporidiobolaceae.